UGUCCUUAUUUGCCACGACGUAAUGGUGGGAACUCUAAGGAGACUGCCGGUGACAAACCGGAGGAAGGUGGGGACGACGUCAAGUCAUCAUGGCCCUUGUGACCAGGGCUACACACGUGCUACAAUGGGACGUACAGAGGGUUGCUAAGCCGCGAGGUGGAGCCAAUCCCAGAAAACGUUUCGUAGUCCGGAUCGAAGUCUGCAACUCGACUUCGUGAAGUCGGAAUCGCUAGUAAUCGCGAAUCAGCAUGUCGCGGUGAAUACGUUC
Molecule: ribosomal RNA, 268 nt
Filed under: unidentified gamma proteobacterium groupE
Lineage: Bacteria; Pseudomonadati; Pseudomonadota; Gammaproteobacteria
Description: partial 16S small subunit ribosomal RNA
Rfam family: Bacterial small subunit ribosomal RNA
Source: RNAcentral